RNAcentral lists this ribosomal RNA (502 nucleotides) under uncultured bacterium. Its description in RNAcentral is "bacterial SSU rRNA". It matches the Rfam family "Bacterial small subunit ribosomal RNA", at positions 9 to 507 of the family's 1533-position model. The record is from RNAcentral.
GAGUUUGAUCCUGGCUCAGGAUGAACGCUAGCGGCAGGCUUAAUACAUGCAAGUCGAGGGGCAGCACGGUUAGCAAUAACUGGUGGCGACCGGCGCACGGGUGCGUAACACGUAUACAAUCUACCUUAAACAGGGGGAUAGCCUUUCGAAAGAGAGAUUAAUACCCCGUAAUAAAUUGAACGGCAUCGUUUGAUUUUGAAAGCUCCGGCGGUUUGAGAUGAGUAUGCGUCUGAUUAGCUAGUUGGUGAGGUAACGGCUCACCAAGGCGACGAUCAGUAGGGGAUCUGAGAGGACUAACCCCCACACUGGUACUGAGACACGGACCAGACUCCUACGGGAGGCAGCAGUAAGGAAUAUUGGUCAAUGGAGGCAACUCUGAACCAGCCAUGCCGCGUGCAGGAUGACGGCCCUAUGGGUUGUAAACUGCUUUUAUACAAGAGAAAACCCUGGUACGUGUACCAGGUUGAUAGUAUUGUAAGAAUAAGCAUCGGCUAACUUCGUG